ACGAACGCUGGCGGCGUGCCUAAUACAUGCAAGUUGAGCGAUGAAGAUUGGUGCUUGCCCCAAUUUGAAGAGCAGCGAACGGGUGAGUAACGCGUGGGGAAUCUGCCUUUGAGCGGGGGACAACAUUUGGAAACGAAUGCUAAUACCGCAUAACAACUUUAAACAUAAGUUUUAAGUUUGAAAGAUGCAAUUGCAUCACUCAAAGAUGAUCCCGCGUUGUAUUAGCUAGUUGGUGAGGUAAAGGCUCACCAAGGCGAUGAUACAUAGCCGACCUGAGAGGGUGAUCGGCCACAUUGGGACUGAGACACGGCCCAAACUCCUACGGGAGGCAGCAGUAGGGAAUCUUCGGCAAUGGACGAAAGUCUGACCGAGCAACGCCGCGUGAGUGAAGAAGGUUUUCGGAUCGUAAAACUCUGUUGGUAGAGAAGAACGUUGGUGAGAGUGGAAAGCUCAUCAAGUGACGGUAACUACCCAGAAAGGGACGGCUAACUACGUG
Molecule: ribosomal RNA, 496 nt
Filed under: uncultured bacterium
Lineage: Bacteria
Description: partial 16S ribosomal RNA
Rfam family: Bacterial small subunit ribosomal RNA
Source: RNAcentral